Molecule: long non-coding RNA, 475 nt
Filed under: Salvia miltiorrhiza (redroot sage)
Lineage: Eukaryota; Viridiplantae; Streptophyta; Magnoliopsida; Lamiales; Lamiaceae
Description: long non-coding RNA (SMIL_LNC003694)
Source: RNAcentral
GAAGGGUACAAUUGAUACUGCUGAAAUAAGAUUUUAUUAAAAAGAAAAGAAACAACAAUGGAGAACCAAAAACCCUUGAAAGCACAAAGCUGCAGACUAAGGGCCGAGCCUCGUUAAAACCUCAUAAUAGCUGAGGAAAAAGAGUACUCGUCAAGGACCAAGGUUGACAGAGCUGAGUUAGGAGGUCUCAAGGAUUCCGGCCGAACCAUUACCCUUAGGCCUCCCGGCUCACAACCGAUCCAGAACGAAGAGAAAAAAAAAACCAAAAAAUCAAGCGAAACGAGAAAAAUAGGGAAUAGAAACAUCCUCCUUGACAAAAUCAUUUAAACCAGCAAUGGCAUGAGGCCAAAAACCCUCCUCCGAAGCUUGAGAAGCUAAAAAAUCCGCCGAUCUGUUGCCCUCACGAAAAAUGUGAGAAAUGCGCCACGUGAAAGAAUGGAGUUUGGAGAGAGCAAGCUGCCACCGAGGCUUGAAU